Molecule: long non-coding RNA, 663 nt
Filed under: Salvia miltiorrhiza (redroot sage)
Lineage: Eukaryota; Viridiplantae; Streptophyta; Magnoliopsida; Lamiales; Lamiaceae
Description: long non-coding RNA (SMIL_LNC005746)
Source: RNAcentral
UGAUUUUAGGACUAUGAGUUUAAGUUGAGAACUUAUCUUGUAGGUCCUACAGAAGAGGAUAUUUAGGCUCUUGUUCAGCUGAGUUAUUUGUUUGGAUUUUCUCCAAAUCAGGUGAGGCUUUAUUUACGAAAUGUAUGUUUGAGCUAAUAAGCUCGGUUUUAUGUAAAGUUAAAGAUGAUGGUUCAUGCUUAAAAUGUUUUUGCUCUCUAUUGGUUACUGCUUCUACCAGAACAUUGUUGGCUCCGCCAACCAGAACAUUGUUAGCUCUGCUAACCAGAAUUGUGUACGUACACCAGAACCUGUUGUCUCGAGAGAUCGGUGACAACCAGUUGUAGAUAGCAUGCCCAAUAGAUGGCCAGGAAAAUAUGAGCUCAGAUUAUUUUAGUAUGCAUGGAAUGACUCGUCUUUAAAAACAUUCUGUGUUAUACUGUUUAAAGGCAUGAAUUAUCUUUUUCAGUAAAUGAUUUUUAAAAUGUUUUUAAAUGGCUCAACCCACUGAGUACACUAGUACUCAGCCCUGCAAUUGUUUUCAAAACCUUUUGCAGAUUGAGCAGCUAGUGGUGACGUGCGAGGCUGAGGAAGGGUUGUUGCUGUGGAUUCUGAAGAAAUACUGCGUUUACUUCUCCUAAAAUAAAUUCACUUAGUGAAUAUUAUCUGAUGCCU